UCCCUGGUGGUCCAGUGGCUUAGACUCUAUACUUCUAAUUCAGGGGGUUCAGGUUCAAUCCCUGGUCAGGGAA
This 73-nucleotide transfer RNA is filed under the name Ovis aries (sheep). It matches the Rfam family "tRNA". Rfam says of the family: Transfer RNA (tRNA) molecules are approximately 80 nucleotides in length. Their secondary structure includes four short double-helical elements and three loops (D, anti-codon, and T loops). Lineage: Eukaryota; Metazoa; Chordata; Mammalia; Artiodactyla; Bovidae. The record is from Rfam by way of RNAcentral.